RNAcentral lists this ribosomal RNA (491 nucleotides) under Escherichia coli. RNAcentral's name for it is "bacterial SSU rRNA". It matches the Rfam family "Bacterial small subunit ribosomal RNA", at positions 90 to 577 of the family's 1533-position model. Lineage: Bacteria; Pseudomonadati; Pseudomonadota; Gammaproteobacteria; Enterobacterales; Enterobacteriaceae. The record is from RNAcentral.
GACGAGUGGCGGACGGGUGAGUAAUGUCUGGGAAACUGCCUGAUGGAGGGGGAUAACUACUGGAAACGGUAGCUAAUACCGCAUAACGUCGCAAGACCAAAGAGGGGGACCUUCGGGCCUCUUGCCAUCGGAUGUGCCCAGAUGGGAUUAGCUAGUAGGUGGGGUAACGGCUCACCUAGGCGACGAUCCCUAGCUGGUCUGAGAGGAUGACCAGCCACACUGGAACUGAGACACGGUCCAGACUCCUACGGGAGGCAGCAGUGGGGAAUAUUGCACAAUGGGCGCAAGCCUGAUGCAGCCAUGCCGCGUGUAUGAAGAAGGCCUUCGGGUUGUAAAGUACUUUCAGCGGGGAGGAAGGGAGUAAAGUUAAUACCUUUACUCAUUGACGUUACCCGCAGAAGAAGCACCGGCUAACUCCGUGCCAGCAGCCGCGGUAAUACGGAGGGUGCAAGCGUUAAUCGGAAUUACUGGGCGUAAAGCGCACGCAGGCG